ACGGGGUUAAUUCUGGGAGCAGUUUUUGGAAUUGUAUUUCCUAUCCGGGGGGGAAAAUCCAAGUCAGUAUCCCAAAAUGGAUCAACAGUUAUUGAAACAAUUUAUCUUAAAAACAUGUUUCUACAUGCGUGUUGUCGCGUUUGACCCAAAGAAAUGAUUUUUUUUGGGGGGGAGGAGGGGAUUUUACUGUUCCAAUUACUGCCUCUCCAUGUCUCCCAAUCUCUUGCUGGUUGUGUGUGCGCACCAACGCAUGUCUUGUAGUCCAGCAUGAAGUCACACCAACACCACAGCAGGCGCUGCUCCUCAGAUCAGCAGCAACACACACAUCAGGGUGUUAAUUGUUGUGAUGACACCUUUUGAUAACAAGGCUCUAAUUAUCAACAUGUUUGACUGUUGGGGAGGGUGUCUGCCACUUGGUGGUGUACACUUUGAUAUUCACUUGGUUUAAAUGAUUCCUGUUAUUAACCACCGUUACUGUGGUAACAUGAGACCCAACAAACAUAACAUGGGCGUCGUUCUCGCUAUUUCCGUGUCUAAGUUGGCUGUCAAAGUGUACAAACUUGUCUUCAUAUGUCUUCGUUUUUUCUAUCAUCCAGGUGAGAGGCAUGGUUUAUGAUGUAGGAUAAAGUUUGAAGGAAGCAGCUGAUCAGUCGAUGAAUCCAACUCCGCUAAAAUAACAGUGGCUUCCGUUUUUUUGACUGGCUCAGCCAGAGCCCUGACCUAAACCCAAUUGAGCAUCUCUGGAGAGACCUGAAAACGGCUGUCCGCCAACGUUCGCCAUGCAACCUGACGGAACUGGAGAGGAUCCCCAAAUCCAGGAGGACACGGUCUGCAGAGGCCAGUGGUCCUGCUGCUUCGCACUGGGAGCUCCACGUUACCCAGUUAUCCAUGACAACCAGGGAGGGAACAUGCAAAAGCUCAGCUGUGGUCAGAGAGCACUCGGUCGGAGCACACAGGGAAGAACAAAGCCUUCACUGAUUUUCAUUUUUACCCCCCUUCUUUGUCUGCUCUACUUUGUCCACACAAGUGUCUCGCUUUUCUUUACUGGACAUAAAGAAGCUUUUGAAGAAGACACACACACACACUACACACUACACAAACAUACGCACACAUGCUUUAGUGGCAAAUUGAAUCAUGUUCGUUCAAUAAAUCAUACGGUUUCCUUUCAUGGGAUCUGCUAAUGUUUUGGCGAAAUAUGCAAAGCGGCGUGUAAAAAAAAAGCCUUAGAAAAAGCAGACACAAUACUCGCCUGGGACAGUUGAUCAAUACAACAAACAUCUUUAUUAGGGACUGCAUGGUGGCAGACUUUUCAUGUGGUCUGAAGUGUAGAAAAUGUCCAUUUUAAACGGAUAGGCUCUGCUCAGCCCGGGCAAAUAGGCUUAAGCUAAUCCUGUCACAGACUCUCCUGAAGAAAUGAAUUGACGACAAAUGAGUAUAACGUGAAAUCCUGCAGACAAAGGAUUCAUUUGAUGACGAAAAACGCUCAAAUCCGGCGAAGAAAUAGUCGUAUUAGAGCAGGCCU
Molecule: long non-coding RNA, 1522 nt
Organism: Entelurus aequoreus (snake pipefish)
Lineage: Eukaryota; Metazoa; Chordata; Actinopteri; Syngnathiformes; Syngnathidae
Exons: 2
Source: RefSeq, a predicted model, not a curated record